AGUGAACGCUGGCGGUAGGCCUAACACAUGCAAGUCGAACGGCAGCACAGGAGAGCUUGCUCUCUGGGUGGCGAGUGGCGGACGGGUGAGGAAUACAUCGGAAUCUGCCCAGUCGUGGGGGAUAACGUAGGGAAACUUACGCUAAUACCGCAUACGACCUUCGGGUGAAAGAGGGGGAUCGCAAGACCUCUCGCGAUUGGAUGAGCCGAUGUCGGAUUCGCUAGUUGGCGGGGUAAUGGCCCACCAAGGCGACGAUCCGUAGCUGGUCUGAGAGGAUGAUCAGCCACACUGGAAGAGAGACAGGGACCAGACGCCUGCGGGAGGCAGCAGUGGGGAAUAGUGGACAAUGGUCGCGAGCCUGAUCCAGCCAUACCGCGUGGGUGAAGAAGGCCUUGGGGUUGUAAAGCCGGUUUGUUGGGAAAGAAAUCUUUCAGGCUAAUACCCUGGGAGGAUGACGGUACCCAAAGAAUAAGCACCGGCUAACUUCGUG
Molecule: ribosomal RNA, 490 nt
Filed under: uncultured bacterium
Lineage: Bacteria
Description: partial 16S ribosomal RNA
Rfam family: Bacterial small subunit ribosomal RNA
Source: RNAcentral